RNAcentral lists this ribosomal RNA (450 nucleotides) under uncultured Glomeromycotina. RNAcentral's name for it is "SSU rRNA". It matches the Rfam family "Eukaryotic small subunit ribosomal RNA", at positions 569 to 1019 of the family's 1831-position model. Lineage: Eukaryota; Fungi; Glomeromycota. The record is from RNAcentral.
AGCAGCCGCGGUAAUUCCAGCUCCAAUAGCGUAUAUUAAAGUUGUUGCAGUUAAAAAGCUCGUAGUUGAAUUUCGGGAUUGACACAUCGGUCGUGCCUUAAGGGGUAUGAACUGGUGUAGUCAAUUUCUCACCUUCUGGAGAACCGCGAUGCCCUUAAUUGGGUGUCACGGGGAACCAGGACCUUUACUUUGAAAAAAUUAGAGUGUUUAAAGCAGGCAUUUUGCUUGAAUACAUUAGCAUGGAAUAAUAAAUAGGACGGCAUGAUUCUAUUUUGUUGGUUUCUAGGAUCACCGUAAUGAUUAAUAGGGAUAGUUGGGGGCAUUAGUAUUCAAUUGUCAGAGGUGAAAUUCUUGGAUUUAUUGAAGACUAACUACUGCGAAAGCAUUUGCCAAGGAUGUUUUCAUUAAUCAAGAACGAAAGUUAGGGAUCGAAGACGAUCAGAUACCGUC